UAAUGACUUGAACUCUUCAUGCUCUCAUUACACACUCUUACAGUGAUCCUUCAAAGAUUGAUCCCCAUGCCUCUGCAGUUAAGAGAAUAUAAUGCCCUACUCUAUGUCCUUUCCUCAGAACGCAUUGCUUUCUCAAUGUAGAAGAAUGCAAAGGAGUUGGGGAGUAAACCCUUCUUGACAGAAUACAAAAUAUUACUUCAAAUAUUUAAAUCAAUUUCACAUAAUUUGGAAGGCAAAAAGAAAGCAAUUUUUGUUAGCCUAACAAUAAUCUUAUCGUAGGAAAGAACCAAAACAUAGCAACCAAAUCUACACGCAUACCCGCCGAUCUUCAAAAUCUGCAAUGUCAUCAUCAACUUCAUCCUCACUAUCUUCAUUGGACGUUACUUGUUCUAUCGCCAUAGGCUUCAAGUGCAAAAAAGAAUGAUUCAAUUAUUGGGUAAGAGUUGAGAGGAAAGAAAGACUAUAUGGAUUAAGGUAUAAGAUAUUAUAAGAAAAAGAAAUGCAGUAUAAGCAUAAAUUAGUCUCUAGACAAUAUCAAAAAGCUCUGAAACAUCCUAUUCAUCAAAGAUGCAAAGUAGAAUUAUACAGUAAUAAGUAAC
This 599-nucleotide long non-coding RNA is filed under the name Citrus sinensis (sweet orange). Its description in RNAcentral is "long non-coding RNA (CSIN_LNC005776)". Lineage: Eukaryota; Viridiplantae; Streptophyta; Magnoliopsida; Sapindales; Rutaceae. The record is from RNAcentral.